RNAcentral lists this ribosomal RNA (459 nucleotides) under uncultured bacterium. RNAcentral describes it as "partial 16S ribosomal RNA". It matches the Rfam family "Bacterial small subunit ribosomal RNA", at positions 338 to 795 of the family's 1533-position model. The record is from RNAcentral.
CCUACGGGAGGCAGCAGUGAGGAAUAUUGGUCAAUGGGCGCGAGCCUGAACCAGCCAAGUCGCGUGAGGGAAGACGGUCCUAUGGAUUGUAAACCUCUUUUGUCGAGGAGCAAAAGACGCCACGCGUGGCGUUCCGAGAGUACCCGAAGAAAAAGCAUCGGCUAACUCCGUGCCAGCAGCCGCGGUAAUACGGAGGAUGCGAGCGUUAUCCGGAUUUAUUGGGUUUAAAGGGUGCGCAGGCGGACGAUUAAGUCAGCGGUAAAAUUGAGAGGCUCAACCUCGUCGAGCCGUUGAAACUGGUUGUCUUGAGUGAGCGAGAGGUAUGCGGAAGGCGUGGUGUAGCGGUGAAAUGCAUAGAUAUCACGCAGAACUCCGAUUGCGAAGGCAGCAUACCGGCGCUCAACUGACGCUCAGGCACGAAAGUGUGGGUAUCGAACAGGAUUAGAUACCCCUGUAGUC